This is a small nucleolar RNA of Chlorocebus sabaeus (green monkey), 90 nucleotides long. It matches the Rfam family "Small nucleolar RNA U3". Rfam says of the family: Small nucleolar RNAs (snoRNAs) are involved in the processing and modification of rRNA in the nucleolus. There are two main classes of snoRNAs: the box C/D class, and the box H/ACA class. U3 snoRNA is a member of the box C/D class. The record is from Rfam. Lineage: Eukaryota; Metazoa; Chordata; Mammalia; Primates; Cercopithecidae.
AAGACUGUACUUUCAGGAAUAAUUUCUAUAGUUCAUUACUAAAGAAAUUUCUCUGAACAUGUAGAGCACCAGAAAAUAUUUUAAAAUAUU